RNAcentral lists this ribosomal RNA (397 nucleotides) under uncultured bacterium. RNAcentral describes it as "partial 16S ribosomal RNA". It matches the Rfam family "Bacterial small subunit ribosomal RNA", at positions 523 to 918 of the family's 1533-position model. The record is from RNAcentral.
AUACGUAGGUGGCAAGCGUUGUCCGGAAUUAUUGGGCGUAAAGCGCGCGCAGGCGGUCCUUUAAGUCUGAUGUGAAAGCCCACGGCUCAACCGUGGAGGGUCCUUGGUAAAUGGAGGACUUGAGUGCAGAAGAGGAAAAUGGAAUUCCCAGUGUAGCGGUGAAAUGCGUAGAGAUUUGGAGGAACACCAGUGGCGAAGGCGACUUUCUGUUCUGUAACAGAAGCUGAGGCGCGAAAGCGUGGGGAGCAAACAGGAUUUGAUACCCUGGGAGUCCACGCCGUAAACGAUGAGUGCUAAGUGUUAGGGGGUUUCCGCCCCUUAGUGCUGCAGCUAACGCAUUAAGCACUCCGCCUGGGGAGUACGGUCGCAAGACUGAAACUCAAAUGAAUUGACGGGG